GACGAACGCUGGCGGCGUGCUUAACACAUGCAAGUCGAACGAAGUGGCGAACGGGUGAGUAACGCGUAAUCAACCUGCCCUUCAGAGGGGGACAACAGUUGGAAACGACUGCUAAUCCCGCAUACUGAAGGAGGCGAUUGCGUCUGAUUAGCUAGUUGGGGGGGUAAAGGCCCACCAAGGCGAUGAUCAGUAGGCGGUCUGGGGAGAUGAACGGCCACAUUGGGACUGGGGAACGGCCCAGGCUCCUACGGGAGGCAGCAGUGGGGGAAUAUCCGCAAUUGACGAAAGGCUGGCGGAACAAAGGCGGGGGAGUGAUGACGGGCUUCGGGUUGGAAAGCUCUGUUAAUCGGGACGCGGUACCGGAAGAGAAAGCCACGGCUAACUACGUGCCAGCAGCCGCGGUAAUAC
Molecule: ribosomal RNA, 408 nt
Filed under: uncultured bacterium
Lineage: Bacteria
Description: partial 16S ribosomal RNA
Rfam family: Bacterial small subunit ribosomal RNA
Source: RNAcentral